RNAcentral lists this unclassified non-coding RNA (1446 nucleotides) under uncultured fungus. Its description in RNAcentral is "sequence contains 18S rRNA gene, ITS1, 5.8S rRNA gene, ITS2, 28S rRNA gene". The stretch from base 397 to 1446 matches the Rfam family "Eukaryotic large subunit ribosomal RNA", at positions 1 to 961 of the family's 3401-position model. Lineage: Eukaryota; Fungi. The record is from RNAcentral.
GGAAGGAUCAUUAACAAAUCACGGCCCUCGGGCCAUUGACGCCUGGCCUCGGCCAGGACAUUUCUGCUUGCAUGUUUGACUGAACGAAAUCAUCCAAUAAUACAACUUUUAACAAUGGAUCUCUUGGCUCUUGCAACGAUGAAGAACGCAGUGAAAUGCGAAACUUAAUGCGAUUUGGCAUGAAUCUGUGAGUCAUCAAGUAUUUGAACGCACCUUGCACUCUGUUCUGCAGAGUAUGCCUGUUUGAGAAUCAGUUCUUUCUCAACCUCGGUCGAGGUUGGAUUUGCGGGCCCCCUCGCGGCGGCCCGUAGAAUGCAGUAGGUCCGGCCAAAGGACAUUGUGUGCCAGAGCGUCACAAUCGAGCCUGCGGCCAGCCUCCACAUACUCUCUCUCUCUUGAUCUCAAAUCAGGCAAGGCUACCCGCUGAACUUAAGCAUAUCAGUAAGCGGAGGAAAAGAAACUAACAAGGAUUCCCCUAGUAACGGCGAGUGAAGCGGGAACAGCUCAAAUUUAGAAUCUGGCGCAAGCCGAGUUGUAAUUUAAAGAGGCGUGAUCCGAGCAGCGCGGCUGUCCAAGUCCCUUGGAAUAGGGCAUCACAGAGGGUGAGAAUCCCGUCUGGGCGGCUGCGUGCGCUCUCCACGACGCGCUUUCUACGAGUCGAGUUGUUUGGGAAUGCAGCUCUAAAUGGGUGGUAAAUUUCAUCUAAGGCUAAAUAAUGGCAAGAGACCGAUAGCGAACAAGUACCGUGAGGGAAAGAUGAAAAGCACCUUGAAAAGGGAGUUAAACAGUGCGUGAAAUUGUUAAAAGGGAAACGAAUGAGAUCAGUGUUGCCGUGCCGGUCGGCUGCGCAUGCGGGUGAACAGGAGCUCACGCCCUCUAGCCUUGUGUUGUGCAGCCUAGGCGCGGCGAGUCGGCGUCGGUUCUGCGGCAGAGACCUACGCUCGGGAAGGUGACGGACUUGUCCGUUUUAUAGACCCGGGCCAAACCUGCUGCGGGACCGAGGCGAGCAGCUGCGUUUCCCGGCCCUUUGAUCCGCGCCCCAUCACUGCAGGCAGCACGCUGGCUGCGGUGGCAAGGCGUGGGGGCGAGGGCCGCGCGUGGCCUGUGGAUGCCGACGAAAUGGUCUUAUACGACCCGUCUUGAAACACGGACCAAGGAGUCCAACAUGUAUGCGAGUAUUUGGGUGGCAAACCCGAGUGCGCAAUGAAAGUGAACUGGAUGGGAGCCGCGCCAGCGGCGCACCAUCGACCGGCCCUGAUAUCUCUUGAAGGGACCGCGUACGAGCAUACCUGUUGGGACCCGAAAGGUGGUGAACUAUGCCCGGAUAGGAUGAAGCCAGAGGAAACUCUGGUGGAGGUCCGUAGCCGUUCUGACGUGGCAAAUCGAUGGUCAAAUCUGGGUAUAGGGGCGAAAGACUAAUCGAACCACCUAGUAGCUGGUUCCCUC